This 420-nucleotide ribosomal RNA is filed under the name uncultured bacterium. Its description in RNAcentral is "partial 16S ribosomal RNA". It matches the Rfam family "Bacterial small subunit ribosomal RNA", at positions 361 to 773 of the family's 1533-position model. The record is from RNAcentral.
AUUUUGUACAAUGGGGGCAACCCUGAUCCAGCCAUCCCGCGUGUGCGAUGAAGUCCUUCGGGUAGUAAAGCACUUUUGGCAUGGAAGCAUAGGCUCUGGCUAAUACCUGGAGCUGCUGACGCUACCUGCAGAAUAAGCACCGUCUAACUACGUGCCAGCAGCCGCGGUAAUACGUAGGGUGCAAGCGUUAAUCGGAAUUACUGGGCGUAAAGCGUGCGCAGGCGGUUCGGCAAGAAGGAUGUGGAAUCCCAGGGCUUAACCUUGGAACUGCAUUCUUAACUGCCGGGCUAGAGUAUGUCAGAGGGGGGUAGAAUUCCGCGUGUAGCAGUGAAAUGCGUAGAGAUGCGGAGGAAUACCGAUGGCGAAGGCAGCCCCCUGGGAUAAUACUGACGCUCAUGCACGAAAGCGUGGGGAGCAAAC